Daphnia carinata is the source of this 525-nucleotide long non-coding RNA. RefSeq lists it as uncharacterized. NCBI's taxonomy places the organism in Eukaryota, Metazoa, Arthropoda, Branchiopoda, Diplostraca, Daphniidae. The transcript has 3 exons. The record is from RefSeq and is a predicted model, not a curated record.
UCAGUAGCGUGGAUGGAGAAUAACGCGUGGCUGGAGGAACAAUUGAAAAAUGGAUAAGAUAAUACAACAAAAGGAUGAUCAAAUUAUGAAGCUGCAGGCCCAAUUAUUGGAACAACACAAAAUAUUAGAUAACAGCAAAGCUAAGGAUGGUAAGGCCUAAUACGUAAUGAUUCUAUUUAUUUGCUUUUAUUCAUUUGUGUUUUGUAGCUCAAAUUUUGAGUCUACAAGCUCAGCUAGGGGAAAAGAACCAAUUGGAAUGGAACAGUUUCCAAACAGUGAAGGAGGUUUUUCCAAACUCAUCCCUAACUGAACAUGAGGAUGAAUUGGCAUUAGGCGAACACAGUCAGUUAUUCAGUCUACCACCUGACAGUGUGUUAAAGUUAAAUUCUGUUAGUGCUGCACUAAAAGAAUUGUUAGUAAUAAGUCCAUGCAGCAAAGGAAGUGAACAAUUGUGGGACUGUAUUUGGGCUGAAAAUGGGUGUGGUAGGGAAACCCAGCAAUAGCACGAGUUCAACAUAAAACAUG